UGGGCUAGACAUCCAAUCCUCAUGCCUCUC
This 30-nucleotide non-coding RNA is filed under the name Rattus norvegicus (Norway rat). The record is from RNAcentral. Lineage: Eukaryota; Metazoa; Chordata; Mammalia; Rodentia; Muridae.